Molecule: ribosomal RNA, 394 nt
Filed under: uncultured bacterium
Lineage: Bacteria
Description: bacterial SSU rRNA
Rfam family: Bacterial small subunit ribosomal RNA
Source: RNAcentral
GUGUCAGCAGCCGCGGUAAUACAGAGGGUGCGAGCGUUAAUCGGAAUUACUGGGCGUAAAGCGUGCGUAGACGGCUAUCUAAGUCGGGUGUGAAAGCCCCGGGCUCAACCUGGGAAUUGCAUUCGAGACUGAAUAGCUAGGGUGCGGUAGAGGGAAGCGGAAUUUCCGGUGUAGCGGUGAAAUGCGUAGAUAUCGGAAGGAACAUCAGUGGCGAAAGCGGCUUCCUGGACCAGCACCGACGUUCAGGCACGAAAGCGUGGGGAGCAAACAGGAUUAGAUACCCUGGUAGUCCACGCCAUAAACGAUGAGGACUAGACGUUGGAGGGGUAAGCCUUUCAGUGUCGUAGCUAACGCGCUAAGUCCUCCGCCUGGGGAGUACGGCCGCAAGGUUGAA